CUCAAAGUGUUGUAAUGCGAGCAAUAAAGCAAGAGCUUCUUUUUCAAUAGUUGAAUAAUUCAGCUGAUGUUUGUUAAACUUACGAGAGUAAUAACUAAUAGGAUGUUCUAUCCCAUUCUCAUCCUCUUGAAUAAGAACAGCACCAGCACCCACGGCACUUGCAUCAACCUCCAGCUUAAAAUUUCGAGUACAAUCAGGUGCCAUUAAAACGGGUGCAUUACACAUCAAAGUUUUAACUAAAUCAAAAGCAUGUUGGCUCUCAGCAGACCACUCAUAAGAUUUAGACGGGCUAAGUAGUGAAGUAAGAGGGCUCACGACAGUCGAGAAAUUCUUACAGAAGCUACGAUAAUAGCCUGCCAUACCCAAGAACCUCCGCAACUCUCUACGGGUAGUAGGAACCGGAAAUUCCGUUAUGGCUGUGACCUUGGCCUCUACCGGUCGUACUUGGCCUUGACCAACCUCCUUACCGAGGCAAAUGUGUUCGGUCCAACUCAACGAAUACAACACCAGAUCAUCAAGAUACGCGUUGCAAUUUGGUACAUCAUGUAAAACGAUAUUAACGAGGCGCUGGAAAGUUGCUGGGGCAUUUCUAAGCCCAAAAGCCAUUGCCGUAUACUGGAGGAAGUUGUCUGGGGUUACAAAGGCUGAAAUCUCCGAAGCUUGUGAGAAUCUGAAUGUGCCAUCGGGUUUGGGAACAAGUAGGCACGGAGAACUCCAAGGACUGCAGCUGGACUUUGCUAAAUCAUUUUCCAACAAAUACUCUACCUCUUGACGCAUAACAGAUCUUUUCAUUGAGUUUACG
Sinocyclocheilus grahami is the source of this 802-nucleotide long non-coding RNA. RefSeq lists it as uncharacterized. NCBI's taxonomy places the organism in Eukaryota, Metazoa, Chordata, Actinopteri, Cypriniformes, Cyprinidae. The record is from RefSeq and is a predicted model, not a curated record. The transcript is spliced from 3 exons.